Molecule: ribosomal RNA, 21 nt
Filed under: Podosphaera xanthii
Lineage: Eukaryota; Fungi; Ascomycota; Leotiomycetes; Helotiales; Erysiphaceae
Description: partial 28S ribosomal RNA
Source: RNAcentral
AUGACCUCGGAUCAGGUAGGG